UUGACCUCGGAUCAGGCAGGGAUACCCGCCGAACUUAAGCAUAUCAAUAAGCGGAGGAAAAGAAACCAACAGGGAUUGCCUCAGUAACGGCGAGUGAAGCGGCAACAGCUCAAAUUUGAAAUCUGGCUCUUUUAGGGUCCGAGUUGUAAUUUGUAGAGGAUGCUUCGGCGUCGGCUCCGGUCUAAGUUCCUUGGAACAGGACGUCAUAGAGGGUGAGAAUCCCGUAUGUGAUCGUUGCCCUUGCCAUGUGAAGCCCUUCGACAGUCCAGUUGUUGGGAUGCAGCUCUAA
Molecule: ribosomal RNA, 289 nt
Filed under: uncultured Cenococcum
Lineage: Eukaryota; Fungi; Ascomycota; Dothideomycetes; Gloniales; Gloniaceae
Description: partial 28S ribosomal RNA
Rfam family: Eukaryotic large subunit ribosomal RNA
Source: RNAcentral